This is a long non-coding RNA of Cervus elaphus (red deer), 1889 nucleotides long. RefSeq lists it as uncharacterized. The transcript is spliced from 4 exons. Lineage: Eukaryota; Metazoa; Chordata; Mammalia; Artiodactyla; Cervidae. The record is from RefSeq and is a predicted model, not a curated record.
AGACUUUUUUAGUAUCUGGUCUUACAUUCAGGUCUUUAACCCACUGAGUUUUGUUUUUGUGUAUGGUGUUAAGAGUUUUCCCGGCACCACUUACUGAAGAGACUGUCUCUUCUCCACUCUAUCUUCUCACCCCCUUUGUCACAGAUUAAGGACCACAGGUGUGUGGGUUUAUUUCUGGGCUAUCUUGUUCCAUUGAUUUGUAUUUCUAUUUUUAUGCCAAUACCACACUGUUUUGAUGACUAUAGGUUCACAAUAUAGCCUGAUGUCAGGGAGACUGAUACCUCCAGCUCUGGUUUUCUUUCCUGGGAUUGUUUUGCUAUUUGGAGUCUUUUGUGUUUUCAUACAAAUUUAAAAAUUUGUUCCAGUUCUGUGAAAAAUGCCAUUGGUAAUUUGGGAGAGAUUGAACUGAAUUUGAUUGCCUUGGGCAGUAUAGUAAUUUUGACAGUAUUGAUUCUUCCAAUCCAAGAAAGCCAGAAGUGUCCCAGCACUAGAGCCUGCAGGCUGCUGGGUGGGGACAGGUCUCAGUGCCAAAGCAGUGACCUCCAGGAGAGCUCAGCUGAGGAAUAUACCACAGGGCCUCCACCACUGGUGUUCCUGCCCCUGCAGUGGGCCACAGCCGACCCCCGCCUCCAGGAGACCCUCCAAGACCUGCAGGGAACUUCAGAAGCUGCAUCUUACCUGAGAGAAAUACUCUUCUGAGAUGCGUGCGGCCCACUCGAUGCACUGCUCCAGGGGCCGGCAGGGGUUGGACACGUCAGCACACUUGAUCAGCAUCCGUUUGAUCAGAGUCCGGUUCUCUGGAGUCCUGAGCAUGGUGUUUAUGGCUUCUUGAUCUUUAUCAGUUUCCUAAAGCAUGAGUGGAAUUCAAAGCAAUCAAAACGGGACCCCAGAUGAGGAUGCUGGGACUCCACGAGGUGAAGAGACUCAGAGGUACUGAGCUGACCCAAGAUAAGAGCGUGAGUCCUGCCUCUAGUCUUGGACUCUGUCACUCCAAAGCAGUACCUGCUAUCUGACUCACAGGGAGCCCCUCUGGAUACGUAGCCUCAGCCCAUGGUGUGAGGGGCCCUCUGCUUACGGGCCCCCUGAAGCAAAUUCAGGUUGGAAGAGGGAGUACUGGGUCGAAGACAUGAGCAAGCAUCUCUUCUUUCUGAUUCUGGGCCCAUCAAGCAGCUUUCCAGAGGAAUCAGCCACGUGGUUUCUGUGAGCAGUCACAGUCAUCCCCUCUCAGUGGGGACAAGACGGGUAGGGGGGACCCUGAGCCCAGGCUGCCUGGUCUCCUAGAAAGUGACAGAGACCGUGUCCUCAGUGAUUCUCCGCAUCUCCCACUGCCCACCAGCUUUGUGCUGACCCUUCUCUCUGCAGGUGUGUGACUACUGUUCAGUACUGCCCACCGGGAACUAUUUUCUUCCACCAGCAAUGACCCACUGGAUCCUGGUUCCCAGUCUCUCAGUAAAAAUCCAAGUUGUGACAGCAGAGAGGAGGAACAUGACUGUCAAGAAGAAUGAAGACUCUGCAACUUCCCAGAAUGGAUGGAGGAAGCCAAGUCUGUGAGGACACAAAGGAACUGAACCUUGAAAACAUCAUGCAACACAGAAGACCACAUCCUCAGGUGCUUCCAUUCGUCUGAAAUGCCCAGAACUCACAAAGCUACGGAGGCGGAAGGUAGAUCAGUUUCUGCCUACCAGGGGGCAGGAGAAUGACUGCUCAGGAGCUCAAGGUUCCUUUGGGGGUGAUGGAAAUGUUGUAAAUGUCGACUAUACGGAUGACUGCACAACUUGGAAUAUACCAAAAACUCCGCACGCUUUAAAUGGGUGAACUGUACAGUACCUAAUUAUAUCUCAACAAAAUUCUUUUUUAAAGAGCAAAAAGGAAACAUACUUUCCAGCUCA